RNAcentral lists this unclassified non-coding RNA (231 nucleotides) under fungal sp. RNAcentral describes it as "partial internal transcribed spacer region". The stretch from base 1 to 48 matches the Rfam family "Eukaryotic small subunit ribosomal RNA", at positions 1784 to 1831 of the family's 1831-position model. The record is from RNAcentral. Lineage: Eukaryota; Fungi.
AAAAGUCGUAACAAGGUAUCCGUAGGUGAACCUGCGGAUGGAUCAUUAAUAAUAUCCAACUGAGUUUUUAUUCUUUCGGGAAUGAAAAUUCAUUUUACCUGUGAACUGGAAAAUGAUGCUUGCAUUGUUUUCGCUUUGUACUAUUGUUUUAUUUUUUUAACUUGAAAUUUUAAGCGCAAGCUUGAAUUUUUAAAUUAAAGACAACUUUCAGCAAUGGAUCUCUUGGCUCUU